RNAcentral lists this ribosomal RNA (92 nucleotides) under Shewanella algae. Its description in RNAcentral is "partial 23S ribosomal RNA". It matches the Rfam family "Bacterial large subunit ribosomal RNA", at positions 2834 to 2925 of the family's 2925-position model. Lineage: Bacteria; Pseudomonadati; Pseudomonadota; Gammaproteobacteria; Alteromonadales; Shewanellaceae. The record is from RNAcentral.
GCCGUUCGAGACCAGGACGUUGAUAGGCAGGGUGUGUAAGCGUUGCGAGGCGUUGAGCUAACCUGUACUAAUGACUCGAGAGGCUUAACCAU